Molecule: long non-coding RNA, 5279 nt
Filed under: Bemisia tabaci
Lineage: Eukaryota; Metazoa; Arthropoda; Insecta; Hemiptera; Aleyrodidae
Description: lncRNA ENSASIAIIG010774
Source: RNAcentral
ACUUUCUAAUUCACAUAUCAAAUCAGAUACAUGCAAUAAGAAACCAAGAGUGCAUACGCCGUUUUUAAAAUGAAUCAGAAAUAGUAAAUCCUGAUUGAGAAAUCAGAUUGAAAGUAAGUUUCUGAAAUUCUCAAAAUGAUUUAUUUUUUCAUCAUCAAUUUUCCUUUCAGAAUCUGGGCAUCACGGUGCGGUACAUGCAAAAUGGUCAAAUUAACCUGCGAGUGGGAAAAGUUAGACAGUUUGCCAAUGUACUGCCGAACUGGGGAAAUGACAGGAUGUUACCUAUGUACUAUUUCCAAAGAACCGGAGAUAACCUACCGAAGGUGAACUUCAAGACGAUGUACGACGCUCAAGUGGUAUUCGCCGAUAUCGAGUUUUUGCUCAAGUGGCUGUUCCUGACCACGGCGUUUCUCAGUGGCCUUGUGUGCGCCUACCUCAUCUCAAGGACGAGGAUUGCCAAGAAAGCCGAGGCUAAGUUUGCGUUGAAAUGAUCAACCAAAACCUCCGCAGCUCAACCGUAUUUAUUAGUUUUUUUAUAUUGAAAUGGAUCUAAUUAUAUCUUCAAGUUGAUAUCCACAAACCACCGCUUUUAACGGAACGCCACGUUUUUGGCAAGUUUAAACUAUGAAUGGUGCAACGGAAAAAUUUGAAGUUUUAUAAUUCAUAAUUUUGGAUGGGAAACGGAAGGCACAACGGAAAUUUUAACAUAAACUCCUCGAUGUACUAUUAUAAUGUCCUUUACAAUAGAUGCUUUAAUUUAUGAGAGUUUGUGGUACUGAAUUGUGUGCGAUAUUCUUCAAACGGAAUGAUCGUGGGGUCAAACAUUUUGCCCAAAUAAGGUAUUUUCAAGAUAUUUAAAGAUAUUUUAUGAUCGAUUCAAGCACGAUUAAAUUUGUUCUCCUUACUGCGUAAAUAUAUUCUAAUAUUUAAUGGAAAAGCCCCUUCAUUCAAUUUCAAAGUUGGAAACUGUCACCAGUUGUCAAGUUUUUUCCCGCAAAAUUAAAUUUUUGAAAUUUCCGUUGUUUCCGACAUUUCCUUCACGAAAUCCAAAAAUCUCCAACACGGUUUUUUUACAAUCUGGUCUACUGAUCAAUGUAUUCGACUAGUCAUUCGGUCAAUCGGGGUUAGUUCAAAUAAGUUAGACUAAAAAUUGCUCGUUUUUCCAAACAAAUUGAGUCAAUUCAAAUUGGAUACUGUAUCGACACUUUGAUAUUCCUGUUAAUUUUACAAGUUCUGAAGUCCAUCUACUGUCAUACGUAGAUAAAUGAGUGCCGCCAGGACUAUUUACUUCGGAAGAGCGUUUGUCCCUUAGUUUUACAAUUAAUCUUUAAACUUUGAACUUUGUUUGUAUGAGAAUAAUUUAGGAUUGUCCUAAACAAUCAAUAUUUUUAUCUCCAGUUUUGGUUGAUAAUUUGAAACGAUCGAAAUGAUGAACUGACCCCUUGAUCUGAAACGACAUCAUACAUUCAGAGAUUCUCUGUGCGGAAGGGUCUACAAGAGAGACAUAACCUUUUGAUAUAUUCUAGUAUUUAACGCUAAUAACUCACUAUUGAUUUGGUCCCAGAAUUAAACCAAUCGAACGAGGUAUAUCUAAGAUACCGAGAGGAUUUUUUCAUCGCGAGGAAGUUAGAGUUUACCGCUUAUUUAUGCACUUUCAAUUCAACAUACUCGUAUGACAUUAAUACUCUCUUCAUUUCCAUUGAACAUCGCUCUCUUUCUUUACACUUGUUGUUUUUACGAUACAGUUCUCCAUUUUCACAUAUAAACCUCGCAAUCUGAUUUUUCACUAUCAUAUUUCUCAACCGCUUUUUACGAGCUGAUUUGAUUUCAGCCAGAUUCCUCUGGCCUUCCGUCUGGUCUCUCUAGAGGAUCCUUUCAGACGGCAAUAAAUAUCUAAUUCUGAUAUUCAUAUAUGAGGAUUCUGUCGUCAUGGACUGACAAUGUGAAGAUAAAGGAAACCAGUGAAAACCCUUUGGUUUUUUGUAAAUAAGUGUACAGUGUAGCUUCAAGUUUGUUAGUUUAGUCCUUAGGUAGGAGAUAAGUUCGUCAAUCCACAUUUCCUGUGGUGUUUUUACCAACUGUUUGUGAUCUAAGUUAAUUUCUAUUAAUUUUAAUGGUGCAUCCUUUUGAGUCAUAGUCUUUUGAAUACUCUUGCCACAUUUCUCAUUUUUUCUGUAUUUUUCAGCCAAGCCAUCUUCAUUUAAUAUUUAGCGUACUUAUUUAUUAAUUGAUUUACUAAGAAUGUAAGUUGUAUUUGAUAUACCUGCCAUACAUUUUUAUGCGCAAUACUAAGCGAUUGGUUCCAAUUGCCUCUGAGUAUAAUUUUAUACAUUUAUAUACAACUUUUUCAAAAUAUGAAUUUAAAUCAAGUUUAGUCGUUUCUUGGUUUCUAAGAUGUUGAUCUACACGAAAGAAGUACGUGUUAAGGUUAAGCACAAGCUGAAAUUUUGUACUAACUCAUUUACUUGCAUUAGUCAUUCAUUAAUUGCAGUUUUCUGUCCAAAUUUUUAGCUCACAUCUAUGCUUUGGCAAGAAAUAUACGUUUACAAGCCAAUUUUAGGUAUGCUGAUAAAAUUUGGGCAUGAGUUCAAUGUAAUAUAUGUCCUUUUUAUUCGGAUUUUUCGUAUGAUUUACAAUUUUAGUAAUUAAUGAUGCUAAUAAUUUCAGACCAAACCCUUCUGAAUUCAUCAAAAUGGUAGGAUGAUACAAUAAAUUGUUAUUUAUUGAUUUCUGUAAGGUCUGGACAAAAAUUAAUAAAAUAUCUUGUACAUGCUCAUCCAUUGUGAAUUCAUCCUCAUCUUUCCCUUUUCUUUGUGUUUGUGAUGCAUUCAUUUUUUCGACCGACACGUUAGUAAUAUUGCUGCAUAAAAUUGUUGAAGAAAAUUUUCUGGCGAGCAAAGAAAAAACUUACCCAAAGAUACUGAUUUCACCAUAAGUUUAUGAUCAGGUGACUGCAGACAAUAUUUCAUACACUGACCUUCAAAAUGAAUAAAAUGUGUAUUUACUACCGCACACUUGUUCACGUUUAAUCCUUUUCUGGUUUUCCUACUUAGACUGCGUUUUCCCACGAGAAAAAACUAUUCUUUGAUUAUUUUGGAAACAAGAUAUAGGUGACUAUUUUUUCUAUGUACGCAGACUUGUGCUUUUUGGAUAAAUCAGGACUAGUGGUAUACCCUUGGAAAAGUUAUGCAUUGUAUCACUGUGCAACAAGAUUUUGCUUAUAAAUUUCACUAGAAUAUCCAAGGACUGGAAGUCUGGAAAUCAACGCCUAUAAUUUAGAGAUGUAUAAGUGUUCGUUUGCAAAAAGUAUUGCAGAAAUUUCCAUAUAUUCUGUUCAAAAAAUACUUUUUGAUAUUUCGUUCAAAACUUUACUUUUUGAUGUUCCGUUCGGUUCUGUUUCCGUUCUCCCCAUUUUUUGAAUCAUUUUAGAGUAAGAUUUUAAAGAUGGAACAUGUGACGUUCUCUCCAGUUCAGACCUCAUCUGGUGGCGGUCCAGCAUAGCCCAAUUAAUUAUUGUAUGAAUUCACAAAAAUCAGAGAUGUACGCUGAAAGAUCCAAAAUUUGCCUUCAAUUAGUAACGUAUGCAAGCGUGCUACCGUGAGUGCAUUUCGUAACUGUUUGGAUCUAAUCACGCCAAAACUCUUCUUAUUUAGCAUACUUCUUCUGAUUUAACUACAAUUAGUCUCACAAUUUCAGACGUUGCUUAAUUUUCUCUGAUGCUUUAUUAUUGAAACAAACGAAUAAAUAAUUCUGGAAAUUAAAAUUUCAUGAGUAUUUGCGAAGUGCUCACCUCUACAUCAUCGGUCGUCAUCAGGCAAAUGUUUAUUUUUUGCUUAAAAAGUCAUUCAUCAAUCAUCAUUAGGCGAAUAUUAGCGUUUAUCUCCGAAUUCAUUUUCCACCUUCCCUCUCGAUUACCAUCAAUUCUCAAAAACUUCCGUGAUUUUUCUUCUGUGUGCAAAGUAAAUUCUGAAAAAGAACUUCAAGGAAUGAUUUUAAUUUGUUCCCCUUCAAAAAAAUAAAAAGAGAGUGGACAUUUCUAAACACUGCAAACAAAUUACGUGGUUUGGAAGUUUCUCUGUCAAGAUUAUCCCUGCCUUUAAGAACUUUGCGUGCAAAUAGGACCGAAAAUUUGCGAGGCACAUAUUUGAGUGGAUCUUCAAUGCGUAUUUUGUAACUGAACACUAGACAUUAACAACAAGCCAACAAGGAUUAAUAUUAAUCAAUUUUACUAGCAGAAUUGGGGGUAUAUUAUGGGCCAUCGCCUCAUCGCCACAUCAUGAUACCCCAAAACGAUCGGGUCCGAUAUUCGAGACUUUUCAUCGUUCGAUGGUGAAGAGUUACUGAGCCUCAACUCAACACGUUGAGGGGUCGAAUUUUAUAAGGAGGGCCAUUUAGAGCCGUUAUUAACUGCAGCUGUUCACCUGCUUGUACUAUGUACACACCCGCAGUGAGAGCCAUGCUUGAGUUUAUCGAUAACGCCGCGUUGUCAUGUGGAUAUUGAUAAGACCGUAUGUUUGCAUGCAACAGAGGAGACGCAUUUUGCAUCAAACUCGAUUAAUUUGCAUUAGCUUUUUAGAGGGCAUAACUCAUCGUCGAACGACAACGUCAAAUAUUUUCAACGGCCAAAAGUUUUUUGGGGAAAAAACAAAUUCAUCAAUUUUACCUUCCUGAAAAAAUGAAUGGUUGCUGUUAAAAUGCUAACUGUCAAUACUAAGUCUCCCCUAUACUCUUCAGGGGUAAUGUACCUCUGAUCAAUGUAUGAACCCCUAAAACACUAUGCAACAUAAUUCAACUUUAGAACUGCACGAAGGAAAACAAAUUGUACAUCGGGAAUUUUAAAAUCAACCCAUAAACAAGAUAUAAAUCGAUGGUCAAAACGAUGAAGAUGCAAUCGGCGUGAUAUAUGUAAUCUAACUUCCUUUUGGAAUAUAUUUUGCAAAUAGGAACUACUAAAUGGACGACGGUUUGCAAAAAGGAGACACUAUUUUUGACUCACCCACAAAAAAGACCUAUCUGCAAGAGAUAAUUGAUAUGGUGCGCGUGUUUUUUUCUAUAAUGAGAAAGAAAUAGAGGUUCCUUGUUGCAAACUGUAAUAUAAUUCUGGCACGAUUGUUUUUAUUUUCAUUACUAUUACAUUAGUUUGAAAAUGUUCCGUGGAAAAGUUCAUUGAAGUUCGAAAAACAAAAACAAAAAUCGUAAAAAAACCAUUAAACAAUUACACAGACAGCGAGUGCUAUAUUUUCUUUGUUUCUUCUUUCUCCACAGUAGAAUACUAACAG